UCCCAUCAGAGGAGAUAGUUCAACCCAUUCAAGGAAGUGCAGAAAAUAGAUGGCCCCCAUGGAAUGGGGAACCACUACCACUUUCUUAUAACCAUUUGUUACAUACAUAAGUUCUAUUUUACUCUUCAAUCUAGUAAGAGCCUGGUCCCGAAUCUCUGUAUUCUGAAAAGAGAGCCUCCAAUCAUAGGCUGCCAUGAAGAGAUUCUUCCCUUCAUAACCAAUUUUUGCCAAAUUCUCAACGAGAACAGCCCAAACAAAGUACCCUGAAGCAAAAUAGUCAGCUGCAGCCAGUCCAGGGACAGCACGGAC
This 309-nucleotide unclassified non-coding RNA is filed under the name Hevea brasiliensis (rubber tree). The record is from RNAcentral. Lineage: Eukaryota; Viridiplantae; Streptophyta; Magnoliopsida; Malpighiales; Euphorbiaceae.